UACGGAGGGUGCAAACGUUGCUCGGAAUCAUUGGGCGUAAAGCGCACGUAGGCGGUCGGCUAUGUCGGAUGUGAAAGCCUCGGGCUUAACCCGAGAAGGGCAUCCGAAACUGGCCGGCUUGAGUACGGAAGAGGGUCUCGGAAUUCCCGGUGUAGAGGUGAAAUUCGUAGAUAUCGGGAGGAACACCAGUGGCGAAGGCGGAGACCUGGGCCGAUACUGACGCUGAGGCACGAAAGCGUGGGGAGCAAACAGG
Molecule: ribosomal RNA, 253 nt
Filed under: uncultured bacterium
Lineage: Bacteria
Description: partial 16S ribosomal RNA
Rfam family: Bacterial small subunit ribosomal RNA
Source: RNAcentral